ACGGGAGGCAGCAGUAGGGAAUCUUCCGCAAUGGGCGAAAGCCUGACGGAGCAACGCCGCGUGAGUGAUGAAGGUCUUAGGAUCGUAAAACUCUGUUGUUAGGGAAGAACAAAUUUGUUAGUAACUGAACAAGUCUUGACGGUACCUAACCAGAAAGCCACGGCUAACUACGUGCCAGCAGCCGCGGUAAUACGUAGGUGGCAAGCGUUAUCCGGAAUUAUUGGGCGUAAAGCGCGCGUAGGCGGUUUCUUAAGUCUGAUGUGAAAGUCCACGGCUCAACCGUGGAAGGUCAUUGGAAACUGGGGAACUUGAGUGCAGAAGAGGAGAGUGGAAUUCCAUGUGUAGCGGUGAAAUGCGCAGAGAUAUGGAGGAACACCAGUGGCGAAGGCGGCUCUCUGGUCUGUAACUGACGCUGAUGUGCGAAAGCGUGGGGAUCAAACAGGAUUAGAUACCCUGGUA
Molecule: ribosomal RNA, 459 nt
Filed under: uncultured Staphylococcus sp.
Lineage: Bacteria; Bacillati; Bacillota; Bacilli; Caryophanales; Staphylococcaceae
Description: partial 16S ribosomal RNA
Rfam family: Bacterial small subunit ribosomal RNA
Source: RNAcentral